GACGAACGCUGGCGGCGUGCCUAAUACAUGCAAGUAGAACGCUGAAGAGAGGAGCUUUCUCUUCUUGGAUGAGUUGCUAACGGGUGAGUAACGCGUAGGUAACCUGCCUUUUAUCGGGGGAGAACUAUUGGAAACGAUAGCUAAUACCGCAUAACAAUGGAUGACACAUGUCAUUUAUUUGAAAGGGGCAAUUGCUCCACUACAAGAUGGACCUGCGUUGUAUUAGCUAGUAGGGGAGGAAAUGGCUCACUAAGGCGACGAUACAUAGCCGACCUGAGUGGAGGACCACCAACACGGGAAUGAGACCACGGUCAAGACCCUAACGGGAGCAGCAGUAGGGGAUCUUUGGAAAAGGGGGCAAAGCCGGACCCGCAAAGCCGGGGUAGGGAAGGAGGUCUUCGGAUUGUUAAAGCCUGUUGUAAGUCAAAGAAGGGUAGGAGAGUGAAACGUUGCCGCUGUGACGGUAGCUAAAGAAAAAGCACCGGCUAACUACGUG
RNAcentral lists this ribosomal RNA (496 nucleotides) under uncultured bacterium. Its description in RNAcentral is "partial 16S ribosomal RNA". It matches the Rfam family "Bacterial small subunit ribosomal RNA", at positions 28 to 507 of the family's 1533-position model. The record is from RNAcentral.